ACCCGAAAAUAUUCCCAACGCCGAAUGACUCAAACGUCAAAGCUAUCAAAAACAAAAAUGAAAUAAAAUAAAAGAAAAAAGAAAAAAUGGUCCGAUUUAUUUUCCUUCCAUUUUCUUCUUUCGUUCCCUUCUCCUUCGUUUCGUUUUCCACAGAAUCUCAGCUCCAGACGCCACCUUUCUCUCUCUAAAAUUGAGACAAAAGACAAUUCUACAACUCCACAGCUGCCUUUCUAGACCACCAAAAACAACCCAAUUCUUUUUUCUUUCUUUUCAGUUUUUAAAUAUUAACCAACAAAGAAGACGAUUCCACAGAUUCUAUUCUGUAUCUUCAAUUUGGUUUCUGAAGUAAAAACAAAAAAAGGAAAAAAAUUUGUUUUUUUGGGUGAAUUUGGAAUUGGGUAUGGAGCCGCCGGAGGACAGUAAGAUAGGGUUGGAGGAGGCGGAGGAGAUAAUCUUGCGGUGGGACUCGACGGCGUCGGAUGAGGCGAGGGACAAGAUGAUCUUCGACGGCGAUCGGCUCGAGGUUGAUCGUUACCUCCACGCCGUUGAUCGAAUCCAACGGUCCAUCUCCUCCAUUUCGAUCUCCGACGAUCAGGCCAAAGUCAACUCCGCCAUCCAGAUCGCCAUGGCUCGCCUCGAGGAUGAGUUCCGCAACAUCUUGUUGAUCCACACCGCCCCUAUCGAGGCCGAUUCCCUCACCGAUCCGAGCUCCUCCACUCACUCCUCCUCCGCCGCCAGCAGUAGCGGCGCCGCCGCCGACUUCGAGGACGAUCCCUACGAGGACAAGGACGACGACGAGAUUCUUCAGCGUGGAGAUUCGAGCAACAGUGUGAGCUACAGGUCCACCAGUAGCAUCCGUGAGAUCGAUCUGAUACCGUCCGAUGCGGUGAUUGAUCUCCGGAGCAUCGCGGAGCGGAUGAUCUCCGCCGGAUACUUGCGUGAGUGCAUUCAGGUGUACGGAAGCGUCAGGAAAUCGGCUGUGGAUUCGAGUUUCAGGAAGCUAGGGAUCGAGAAGCUCAGCAUCGGCGAUAUCCAGAGGCUGGAGUGGGCCCAGCUCGAGACGAAGAUCAGACGGUGGAUACGCGCCGCCAAGGUCUGCAUCAGGAUCGUCUUUGCCAGCGAGAAGAAGCUCUGCGAGCAAAUCUUUGAAGGCUUAGGCACGGCCAUAGACGAUGCCUGCUUCAUGGAGACUGUGAAAGGCCCCGCGAUUCAGCUCUUCAAUUUCGCCGAAGCGAUUAGUAUCAGUCGGAGGUCGCCGGAAAAAUUGUUCAAGAUUUUAGACCUUCAUGAUGCUUUGAUGGACUUGAUUCCGGAUAUUGACGCCGUGUUCGAGUCGAAAUCGUCGGAAUCUAUUCGAAUACAGGCCGCGGAGAUAUUGUCGCGGCUGGCGGAGGCGGCGAGGGGAAUAUUGUCGGAAUUUGAGAACGCCGUGCUUCGAGAGCCGUCGAGGGUACCGGUCCCCGGAGGGACAAUUCACCCCUUGACUAGGUAUGUCAUGAAUUACAUAAGUUUGAUAUCUGAUUACAAGCAGACACUGAAUGAGUUAAUCGUGUCGAAACCGUCGACCGGUUCCCGGUAUUCGGGGGAUCCAACGACCCCGGAUAUGGAGUUUGCGGAGCGGGAGGGGAAGACCCCCUUGGCGCUCCAUUUGAUUUGGAUCAUUGUGAUUUUGCAGUUCAAUUUGGACGGCAAGUCCAAGCACUACAAGGACGCUUCCUUGGUCCAUUUGUUCAUGAUGAACAAUGUUCAUUACAUUGUUCAGAAGGUGAAAGGAUCUCCAGAAUUGAGGGAAAUGAUCGGAGACGAUUAUUUGAGGAAGAUGACGGGGAAAUUUCGCCUUGCAGCUACUAAUUACCAGAGAGCUACUUGGGUGAGAGUGUUGUAUUGUCUUAGAGAUGAGGGCUUGCAUGUGAGUGGGAGUUUCUCUUCUGGGGUUUCAAAGAGUGCUUUGAGAGAGAGGUUCAAGACCUUUAAUGCCAUGUUUGAGGAAGUUCAUAGGACUCAAGCAACAUGGUUGGUACCAGAUUCCCAGCUUAGGGAAGAGCUGAGGAUAUCAAUCUCAGAGAAGUUGAUUCCAGCUUACAGAUCAUUCUUGGGGAGAUUUAGAAACCAUAUAGAGAGUGGAAAGCAUCCAGAGAAUUACAUCAAGUACUCAGCGGAGGACUUGGAGAAUGCCGUGUUGGACUUCUUUGAGGGAUGUCCUGUAUCUCAGCACUUGAGGAGGAGAUCUCAUUGAUGGAAUGAAGCGAGUUUUUGCAACUUAGAAGCUAGGGAAAAACAUUCUUUUAAUUUUUUGGAGCGUUUGGGUGAUAUGGUGCUGGUCAUUCUGGAAUUUUCCGACUUCUUCUAUUUAUUCUACUUCAAUUCAGUGUUCAAGAAACCAAGCUCAGUAAGAAGAUCCGGUGUAACUCUCCAGACUGGCCAAGUCCUCAGCCUAGAUGCUUCUGCCCUAAAAUGAAGUUGAAUCAGUCAUUGGCCCCUGGCUAUUUUGGAUAGCCCCCUGAAAAGCACUUUGGCGGAGGUCGAGGUACAUUAAACGAACAAAUUCUACAAUAAAUUUUCAUAGAAGGCAAUCAUUU
Morus notabilis is the source of this 2579-nucleotide RNA transcript. It is a transcript of the gene named exocyst complex component EXO70A1, with no coding region annotated. The transcript has 2 exons. The record is from RefSeq and is a predicted model, not a curated record. Lineage: Eukaryota; Viridiplantae; Streptophyta; Magnoliopsida; Rosales; Moraceae.